GGGAGAGGCUGUGGCUCAAUGGUAGAGCAUCUGCUUGACAUGCAAAAGGUGCCAGGUUCAAUUCCUGGCAUUCCCA
Non-coding RNA from Eublepharis macularius, 76 nucleotides. NCBI's taxonomy places the organism in Eukaryota, Metazoa, Chordata, Lepidosauria, Squamata, Eublepharidae. The record is from the annotation of a RefSeq genome assembly.